UGGAAUUUCAGAGCUUGGGCUGUGGUAUAUAAGAGAGGUGUUCUGGGGUUAUCGGGGAAUCGGCCAAGAUGCAGGACAUGAGGCACCUCACUGAGGCAUACUGAAAGCUUCUGAUAGCGGAGAUCCUUUUCUUUGGGACUUUAUUUUGAAUAUAUGCUUAUAUGUAGAUACUUUUAUCUCCACUACUUAUGUACUGAUGUAUUAACUUCCUCUUAGAGGUUAUUUUGGAGAAAUAGGUUCUGUAAAUCUGUAUCUUAGGCUUAUUUUGGGUUCUCUUAUAUAUAUGUUAUAUACUUAUGUGCUCAAGCCGGUUUGUCUUCGCGAGCUGAGUCCUGAGUUUUGAUAUUUGUA
This is a non-coding RNA of Arachis ipaensis, 351 nucleotides long. The record is from RefSeq and is a predicted model, not a curated record. Lineage: Eukaryota; Viridiplantae; Streptophyta; Magnoliopsida; Fabales; Fabaceae.